CGAACGCAUCCUUCGGGGUGAGUGGCAGACGGGUGAGUAACGCGUGGGAACGUGCCCUUCAGUUCGGGAUAACCCAGGGAAACUUGGGCUAAUACCGGAUACGUGCGAGAGCAGAAAGAUUUAUCGCUGAAGGAUCGGCCCGCGUCUGAUUAGCUAGUUGGUGAGGUAAUGGCUCACCAAGGCGACGAUCAGUAGCUGGUCUGAGAGGAUGAUCAGCCACAUUGGGACUGAGACACGGCCCAAACUCCUACGGGAGGCAGCAGUGGGGAAUAUUGGACAAUGGGCGCAAGCCUGAUCCAGCCAUGCCGCGUGAGUGAUGAAGGCCUUAGGGUUGUAAAGCUCUUUCGUCCGGGACGAUAAUGACGGUACCGGAAGAAGAAGCCCCGGCUAACUUCGUGCCAGCAGCCGCGGUAAUACGAAGGGGGCUAGCGUUGUUCGGAAUCACUGGGCGUAAAGGGCGCGUAGGCGGCUUUAUAAGUCGGGGGUGAAAGCCUGUGGCUCAACCACAGAAUUGCCUUCGAUACUGUAGAGCUUGAGACCGGAAGAGGUAAGUGGAACUGCGAGUGUAGAGGUGAAAUUCGUAGAUAUUCGCAAGAACACCAGUGGCGAAGGCGGCUUACUGGUCCGGUUCUGACGCU
RNAcentral lists this ribosomal RNA (638 nucleotides) under uncultured bacterium. RNAcentral describes it as "bacterial SSU rRNA". It matches the Rfam family "Bacterial small subunit ribosomal RNA", at positions 63 to 747 of the family's 1533-position model. The record is from RNAcentral.